ACUGGGAUAACUAUUGGAAACAAUAGCUAAUACCGGAUAUAGUUAUUUAUCGCAUGAUGAGUAAUAGAAAGGAGCUUCACAGCUUCACUUAAAAAUGGGGGUGCGGAACAUUAGUUAGUUGGUAGGGUAAUGGCCUACCAAGACGAUGAUGUUUAGCCGGGCCGAGAGGCUGUACGGCCACACUGGGACUGAGAUACGGCCCAGACUCCUACGGGAGGCAGCAGUAAGGAAUUUUCCACAAUGAGCGAAAGCUUGAUGGAGCGACACAGCGUGCAGGAUGAAGUUCUUCGGAAUGUAAACUGCUGUUAUAAGGGAAGAAAAAAUAGAAUAGGAAAUGAUUUUAUCUUGACGGUACCUUAUUAGAAAGCGACGGCAAACUAUGUGCCAGCAGCCGCGGUAAUACAUAGGUCGCAAGCGUUAUCCGGAAUUAUUGGGCGUAAAGCGUCCGUGGGUUUUUUGCUAAGUCUGGAGUUAAAUGCUGAAGCUCAACUUCAGUCCGCUUUGGAUACUGGCAAAAUAGAAUUAUAAAGAGGUUAGCGGAAUUCCUAGUGAAGCGGUGGAAUGCGUAGAUAUUAGGAAGAACACCAAUAGGCGAAGGCAGCUAACUGGUUAUAUAUUGACACUAAGGGACGAAAGCGUGGGGAGCAAACAGGAUUAGAUACCCUGGUAGUCCACGCCGUAAACGAUGAUCAUUAGUUGGUGGAAUAAUUUCACUAACGCAGCUAACGCGUUAAAUGAUCCGCCUGAGUAGUAUGCUCGC
This 760-nucleotide ribosomal RNA is filed under the name Mesomycoplasma hyorhinis. Its description in RNAcentral is "bacterial SSU rRNA". It matches the Rfam family "Bacterial small subunit ribosomal RNA", at positions 137 to 889 of the family's 1533-position model. Lineage: Bacteria; Bacillati; Mycoplasmatota; Mycoplasmoidales; Metamycoplasmataceae. The record is from RNAcentral.